Molecule: ribosomal RNA, 527 nt
Filed under: uncultured bacterium
Lineage: Bacteria
Description: bacterial SSU rRNA
Rfam family: Bacterial small subunit ribosomal RNA
Source: RNAcentral
GACAUCCAGAGAAUUUAGCAGAGAUGCUUUAGUGGCCUUCGGGAACUCUGAGACAGGUGCUGCAUGGCUGUCGUCAGCUCGUGUUGUGAAAUGUUGGUUAAGUCCGCAACGAGCGCAACCCUUAUCCUUUGUUGCCAGCACGUAAUGGUGGGAAACUCAAAGGAGACUGCCGGUGAUAAACCGGAGGAAGGUGGGGAUGACGUCAAGUCAUCAUGGCCCUUACGAGUAGGGCUACACACGUGCUACAAUGGCGCAUACAAAGAGAAGCGACCUCGCGAGAGCAAGCGGACCCCAUAAAGUGCGUCGUAGUCCGGAUUGGAGUCUGCAACUCGACUCCAUGAAGUCGGAAUCGCUAGUAAUCGUAAAUCAGAAUGUUACGGUGAAUACGUUCCCGGGCCUUGUACACACCGCCCGUCACACCAUGGGAGUGGGUUGCAAAAGAAGUAGAUAGCUUAACCUUCGGGAGGGCGUUUACCACUUUGUGAUUCAUGACUGGGGUGAAGUCGUAACAAGGUAGGCGUAGUGCU